This 508-nucleotide ribosomal RNA is filed under the name uncultured bacterium. Its description in RNAcentral is "partial 16S ribosomal RNA". It matches the Rfam family "Bacterial small subunit ribosomal RNA", at positions 28 to 523 of the family's 1533-position model. The record is from RNAcentral.
GAUGAACGCUAGCUACAGGCUUAACACAUGCAAGUCGAGGGGAAACGAUAUUGGAAGCUUGCUUCCGAUAGGCCUCGACCGGCGCACGGGUGAGUAACGCGUAUCCAACCUGCCCACCACUUGGGGAUAACCUUGCGAAAGUAAGACUAAUACCCAAUGAUAUCCCUAGCAGACAUCUGAAGGCGAUUAAAGAUUCAUCGGUGAUGGAUGGGGAGGCGUCUGAUUAGCUUGUUGGCGGGGUAACGGCCCACCAAGGCGACGAUCAGUAGGGGUUCUGAGAGGAAGGUCCCCCACAUUGGAACUGAGACACGGUCCAAACUCCUACGGGAGGCAGCAGUGAGGAAUAUUGGUCAAUGGGCGAGAGCCUGAACCAGCCAAGUAGCGUGCAGGAUGACGGCCCUAUGGGUUGUAAACUGCUUUUAUAAGGGAAUAAAGUGAGUCUCGUGAGACUUUUUGCAUGUACCUUAUGAAUAAGGACCGGCUAAUUCCGUGCCAGCCGCCGCAGUAA